RNAcentral lists this ribosomal RNA (253 nucleotides) under uncultured bacterium. Its description in RNAcentral is "partial 16S ribosomal RNA". It matches the Rfam family "Bacterial small subunit ribosomal RNA", at positions 524 to 776 of the family's 1533-position model. The record is from RNAcentral.
UACGGAGGGUGCAAGCGUUAUUCGGAAUUACUGGGCGUAAAGCGUGCGCAGGCGGUUUGUUAAGUCCGCUGUGAAAUCCCCGAGCUCAACUUGGGAAUUGCAGUGGAUACUGGCAAGCUGGAGUAUGGUAGAGGAAGGUGGAAUUCCCGGUGUAGCAGUGAAAUGCGUAGAGAUCGGGAGGAACACCAGUGGCGAAGGCGGCCUUCUGGACCAAUACUGACGCUCAUGCACGAAAGCGUGGGGAGCGAACAGG